This 788-nucleotide ribosomal RNA is filed under the name uncultured archaeon. RNAcentral's name for it is "bacterial SSU rRNA". It matches the Rfam family "Archaeal small subunit ribosomal RNA", at positions 85 to 879 of the family's 1478-position model. The record is from RNAcentral.
ACUGCUCAGUAACACGUAGCUAACCUACCCUUAAGUCAAGGAUAACCUCGGGAAACUGAGGAUAAUACUUGAUAGAAGACUUACCCUGGAAUGAUUAGUCUUUUAAAUUCGAGCUUAAGGAUGGGGCUGCGGCGGAUUAGGUUGUUGGCGGGGUAAUAGCCCACCAAGCCAAAGAUCCGUAAGGGCUCUUAGCGGAGAGGCCCUGAGAGGGAAUCUGAGACACUAUUCCCAGCCCCACGGGGUGCAGCAGUUAGGAAUAAUCUUCAAUGCGCGCAAGCGUGAAAGUUUGAGCCAGAGUGCUUUUCAAUUAGAAAAGCUUUUGUGAAGUGUAAAAAGCUUUACGAAUAAGGACUGGGUAAGACGAGUGCCAGCCGCCGCGGUAAUACUCGCGGUCCAAGUCGCAGCCAUUUUUAUUGGGUCUAAAACAUCCGUAGCUUGUUUAGUAAGUUUCUUGUGAAAUCUUAUCUCUUAAAGAUAGGGCGGGCAAGAAGUACUGCUGAGCUAGAGACUGGAAGACGUAAGAAGUACGUUCAAAGUAGCGGUAAAAUGUGUUAAUCUUGAACGGACUCACAAUAGCGAAGGCAUCUUACGAGGACAGUUCUGACAGUAAGGGAUGAAGGCUAGGGGCGCAAAACGGAUUAGAUACCCGUGUAGUCCUAGCAGUAAACACUGCACACUAAACAUUAGUACCUCCUCGAGAGGUAUUAGUGCUGAAGGGAAGCCGAGAGUGUGCUACCUGGGAAGUAUAGUCGCAAGGCUGAAACUUAAAGGAAUUGGCGGGGGAGCAC